Long non-coding RNA from Rana temporaria (common frog), 1534 nucleotides. RefSeq lists it as uncharacterized. The record is from RefSeq and is a predicted model, not a curated record. Lineage: Eukaryota; Metazoa; Chordata; Amphibia; Anura; Ranidae. The transcript is spliced from 2 exons.
UCGCGCACAAGUGACGUCAUCGCCAGCUAAGCCGCUCAUAUCACCGAAGACUGGGUCAAGAUGUAAGCGCCUACAGCGGUGAUAGCGUGCUGCUGGAGGGCUUAGUUGUCAGAUUCCCGGAUGCUCAGAAAAUGCCAAAAAGAAUCUGCGUGUAAAGAUUUGUUGCAGGAAGUUUGACCCCUCCUCAUUAUCAAUGAGACAAGACCGGGGAACUCUAGAACCUUAUCUAAUGCAGUGUGCAUGACCCAGGCGUUUGCUCGUCAUGCAUUCAGGAAGGGAAUCCAAUUCUGCAUGGCUUAGAUAAGCUUAUUUGUUCUGACUCAGAGCAUGCUAGACCCCUAACUGGAUGGGAACUGCACUAAGAAUAGGCCCUGUGAAAUGUAGACGUUUUAUUAUGCUGUGUUUGACGUGGGCUCCUUGCAUACGGGGUGUCAAGCCCCUGUGGGUACAAUCACAGCGUUUUAGUGUGAUCCCCAGGAGUCAAAGGUGCUGCAUCCAUCCCCACUGCUCACAGCCUGUCAAAGUCUUUGGCAAGCUGAAAUAUGCUGUACAGAUUAGAGUCCUAUGAAAACAAAUUUCCAGAAUGCAGUUAUUCUGUGCAUUUGUACAGUCCAGAGUAUAGCUGGCCAGCUAAGACCUGUCCUAGGUUGCUAAUAUGACUUACAUGUAUAUACAGCUAGACCUGCUAACAACCUUAAUACAAUUCAUAUGCUCAUAUGUGAGAGAUAAAAGCAGAGUUAUUUACUGUGAUUUUAUAUAUGGAUGUCAUGUAACAGUUGUAUAUUGUUUUCACAGAAGCAAAAAGAGAGAAUAUGACUUUUAAGAUUUGUUGUGUGACUGUAAGGUAGGCUCAAGACCCAGCAGAAUUGAAACCAGAAAGCAUAGAGUUAAGCUUUUGUGACUUAUCAGGAGUCUUGGCCAAUCACAGCCAAUCUCACAUUGAGCAGGAGUCUUGGCCAGUCACAGCAAGCCUUACACCCAUUUCUGUCUGGAAAAUUCCCAGCACACUGCUAGAAAUUCAUUACACCAGAGAGAGAAGAUCUGAACAGACCCACACCACUCAGAGUUCAGUUUUAUGGAAGCAAGUGGCCAAAAUAGGUAUUUAAUACAGUUAUAUAUGCUUCUAUUGUUAAUAGUGUGAUUAGGACUGUAUACUAACUAGUUAUGUGUUUACUUGUAGUUCCAACAAACCAAACACCAAACUUCAAUUCCAAACAUCACAGCAAAUGGUCAAACAAACCUCAAACGUGCUAUCUAACUGCAAUAGCAAACGUUCCAGCAAACAGCAAUAUAGAGCGAGUAAAACUAUUGAUUAAGCCUCAGAGAGAUCAUAAAGUUUAAAUAACUUAAAGAGAGAGUACAGAUACUAAAGUAAGAAAUAUAUCUACCAUUUUAUGUAGAAUGACAAGAUUGAACAGUUGAACUGCCAUUUGUUGUACUUUAUUCAACACGUCCUUGUACAUGGACUGCCUGCUGCAAAAUUGUCAGUGUUAUAUAUGAAGAAAAGCUGAAGUUAAUAAAGAAGUUAUCUCAA